This 403-nucleotide ribosomal RNA is filed under the name uncultured bacterium. RNAcentral describes it as "bacterial SSU rRNA". It matches the Rfam family "Bacterial small subunit ribosomal RNA", at positions 29 to 429 of the family's 1533-position model. The record is from RNAcentral.
AUUGAACGCUGGCGGCAUGCCUAACACAUGCAAGUCGAACGGCAGCACGGCAGUAGCAAUACUGUGGGUGGCGAGUGGCGGACGGGUGAGGAAUACGUCGGAAUCUGCCCAGUCGUGGGGGAUAACUAGCCGAAAGGUUAGCUAAUACCGCAUACGACCGAGAGGUGAAAGCGGGGGGACCGCAAGGCCUCGCGCGAUUGGAUGAGCCGACGUCGGAUUAGCUAGUUGGUGGGGUAAAGGCCCACCAAGGCGACGAUCCGUAGCUGGUCUGAGAGGAUGAUCAGCCACACUGGAACUGAGACACGGUCCAGACUCCUACGGGAGGCAGCAGUGGGGAAUAUUGGACAAUGGGCGCAAGCCUGAUCCAGCAAUGCCGCGUGUGUGAAGAAGGCCUCGGUGUAAG